ACGGGAGGUGGAGGAGGUAGGAUCAGGUGGCCCUUUUGCGCCUCCUAACUCCCCCCUCCAGAGAUCCCUCCCCCGACUUAGGAAACCCCUUCCCCUAUUCAGCCCUUAUCCUCCUGCUCCUCUUCCUCAGCAUCCUCCUCCUCCUCCUCCUUCUUCUCCUCAUCCUCCACAUCAUCCCAUGCCAAGCCUUGCUCUUCCUCAUGCUCCUCAUCCUCAGGAAUCUGUGGUGCAGCAUCAGGGCCUGCAGAGCUUCGGGAGCCUUCCUGAAGCCAACGCUGCGACACCAUCGGACCCCGCGCGGAUGAAUCCAGGAAAAAGCAAAGAAUACAUCACAAAAGAAGAGGAGCUGUACGCCCAGUACUUCACUUUCUGACUCGCUAAAUCCCAACUGUGUCAAAAAAAGGAAGUAAUGGGACAGAGAGCUAAAGUUGGACAACGAUCAAACUGCAGGUUUUCACAGUCAUUUGGGCGACAUGAAUAUGAGAUGUCCUCUCCUCAUUGCAGCACUCCCAUCUGUCGUGUGCAUCGCUGAGUGAAUUUAACCUUAGGGCUUCCAUACGUGGCGAGCACGAUGAGCAGUGUGGCUUAUCAGUGCUUCAUCAUGAAAGUAUGCAUGGCAGAAAGAGGUGACAUAAAACAUUAGUAUACAGCGAUUUGUCUUUUACAUUUAUGCCAUCUGUUAUUCUGCAAAAGAGGCCAUUUGUAUGAGCUCUCAUGCUACCCAAUGUAAAGUGUACGAGAAAAUUACAAGUUAGAAAGAAUUAAUGUCCUCUGAAUUUAAAUGUAAUAAUUUAUUUUACACUGAAGUUCAAAUGCGUGGCAUGCUCUACAGAGAUUUCCCAAAGGGAGUUGCAUGUUUAUUGAUGACGAAGCUGGUGCUAAUGAUUUCAUCUCAUUUUUUUAAGAUUUACCGGUUGCCAAGCGAUGUCAAAAUGUAUCCUUUUGCAUUUAAAAUCUACAAAUCAAUAUGAAGACUCUGAUUAAUAAUGAGAGUAACUCUACACGGUGCUUUUUGAACACCGUUCUUAGGGCUGCAGUUAAUUAAAUUUUAAUCUUGAUCACAAUUUUGGCUCCUAACAGCUAAAAUGUAUCAUCUGCCAAAAGCACACAAAGCAAAUCAAGCGCUCACUGAAUCACUGCCUGCAUGUGCCAAUCACAGCUUCCUGGAUUUUUCCUGGAUGUAACCUGGACGAGUAACAACAAAACAUGAACUACACAGACCAGACAUCAAUAUAAAAUUCAAACGUGCGGCAUGCUUUAAGCGGAUCAUCAUUAUCAUUAUUUGGAAACACUUCAGAUUUUUGGUUUUAAUUGCUACAAAGCGACACAGCUAACUAACACUGGUGUACAGAAUGCAGUAGUUGCUGGCGGGAAUGAUCCAGCAGUUUGUCAUAACCCUACAGAUGAAUCAUUAAAUCAUUAAAUCCUUAAUGCAAAUUCAGAGCACAUUUUAAUGACCACUAAAUCACUUUGACUUUUACUUUCAACAGUAGUUAAUAUAUUAAAACACACCUUUCACUUUUUUGGAGACAUCAAAAUAAAACAGAUGUGACAGUCAGCACAAAAAGUUUCAGACAUUUUUCAUGGUGCAUGUUUGAGGUUUAUUUUUUCAUUUCCAAAUACAUAAUUUGUUUAUGACAAUUCAGUGGGCUACAUACUGGACUUAGGCUACGUUCACACUGCAGGCGAAAGAGCAUCAAAUCCGAUUUUUUUGACCCCAUGCGACCCAUAUCCGAUCAUGGUAUGACAGUGUGAACGGCACAAAUCCGAUAUUUUCAAAUCCGAUCUGGGUCACUUUCGUAUGUGGUACUGAAUCCGAUACAUAUCCGAUGUUUUAGAAAGCUGUUGUUUGAACGGUCAUGUCGCAUUAAAUCCGUCUUUUACGUCACUGACACAAGACAGACGCCA
This is a long non-coding RNA of Oreochromis aureus, 1908 nucleotides long. The record is from Ensembl. Lineage: Eukaryota; Metazoa; Chordata; Actinopteri; Cichliformes; Cichlidae.